Molecule: non-coding RNA, 161 nt
Organism: Helianthus annuus (common sunflower)
Lineage: Eukaryota; Viridiplantae; Streptophyta; Magnoliopsida; Asterales; Asteraceae
Source: Rfam
UCACUUACCUGGACGGGGUCAAUGGGCGAUCAAGAAGGUCCAUGGCCUAGGUUGGUGACCUCCAUUGCACUCAGGAGGGGUGCCCGCCUAAGGUCGGCCCAAGUGGUCGAGCCUACGUCAUAAUUUGUGGCAGUGGAGGCCUGCGUUCGCGCAGCCUCUGC